CCUACGGGAGGCAGCAGUGGGGAAUUUUGGACAAUGGGCGAAAGCCUGAUCCAGCCAUACCGCGUGCGGGAAGAAGGCCUUCGGGUUGUAAACCGCUUUUGUCAGGGAAGAAAUGCUUCGGGCUAAUACCCUGGGGUGAUGACGGUACCUGAAGAAUAAGCACCGGCUAACUACGUGCCAGCAGCCGCGGUAAUACGUAGGGUGCAAGCGUUAAUCGGAAUUACUGGGCGUAAAGCGUGCGCAGGCGGUUCUAUAAGACAGAUGUGAAAUCCCCGGGCUCAACCUGGGAACUGCAUUUGUGACUGUAGAGCUAGAGUACGGUAGAGGGGGAUGGAAUUCCGCGUGUAGCAGUGAAAUGCGUAGAUAUGCGGAGGAACACCGAUGGCGAAGGCAAUCCCCUGGACCUGUACUGACGCUCAUGCACGAAAGCGUGGGGAGCAAACAGGAUUAGAUACCCUGGUAGUCCACGCCCUAAACGAUGUCAACUGGUUGUUGGGAGGGUUUCUUCUCAGUAACGAAGCUAACGCGUGAAGUUGACCGCCUGGGGAGUACGGCCGCAAGGUUGAAACUCAAAGGAUUGACGGCGNGAGAGNGCGAGACGACGACGAGGGAGAGG
Molecule: ribosomal RNA, 616 nt
Filed under: uncultured bacterium
Lineage: Bacteria
Description: bacterial SSU rRNA
Rfam family: Bacterial small subunit ribosomal RNA
Source: RNAcentral